GUGCACUUAGCUCAGUGGUUAGAGCACCCUUCAAGAGUUUGGGGAAAACAUGUCAUGGGUUUGAGUCCUGUAGUGCACA
Molecule: transfer RNA, 79 nt
Filed under: Cronartium ribicola 11-2
Lineage: Eukaryota; Fungi; Basidiomycota; Pucciniomycetes; Pucciniales; Coleosporiaceae
Description: tRNA-Und (NNN) (tRNA-Und-NNN-76-1)
Rfam family: tRNA
About the family: Transfer RNA (tRNA) molecules are approximately 80 nucleotides in length. Their secondary structure includes four short double-helical elements and three loops (D, anti-codon, and T loops).
Source: RNAcentral